Molecule: ribosomal RNA, 253 nt
Filed under: uncultured bacterium
Lineage: Bacteria
Description: partial 16S ribosomal RNA
Rfam family: Bacterial small subunit ribosomal RNA
Source: RNAcentral
UACGGAGGGUGCAAGCGUUAUCCGGAUUUACUGGGUUUAAAGGGUGCGUAGGUGGGUUGGUAAGUCAGUGGUGAAAUACUUUCGCUUAACGAAGGAACUGCCAUUGAUACUACCAGUCUUGAAUACAGUGGAGGUAGGCGGAAUGCGUCAUGUAGCGGUGAAAUGCUUAGAUAUGACGCAGAACACCAAUUGCGAAGGCAGCUUGCUACACUGUUAUUGACACUGAGGCACGAAAGCGUGGGGGUCAAACAGG